CGAGAGGGAGUGGUGAAGAAGAAAGGGCACUAGGAGCAUCACGGAAGAUGAAAGCGGUCGAGUUAAAAUGGACCAGAAAAGCAGAGCGAUGUGCUGGCACAUCUGAAGAUGUAGACCGGAGAAAAGAGAGAAGAAAGCAGCAAACACUGCAGGGAUGAACAUGAGGGAAGGACUGUGGAGCUCCAUCAAGGACGAGAACUCUUACAGGAGGCAGGAACCCAACCAAACAGACACAAGAUCGGGGGCAGAUCACAUAAAAGAAGAACCUAAAUCGCCUACAAUGUGAGGGGAGAGCUCUGUGGUGCUGACGUUCAGCAGCUUGACAAACAGCAGCCGCCACCAGCCAUCUGUAAAACCUUGCUUCGGGCCGGGAGGAUUGAUUCUGGGAUUGAUUUGUCAGCUUGUGCUCGGACUACGGCGCGUGUCUGCUUUUCUGCCUCGUCUCAGACGAACUGAUCUGCGGAAGGUUUGGUGAGGACCGAACACAUCAAAGCGGCACACACCCAAGCGAAGGCACUGCCUCAUCAGACCCCCAGAAGA
Molecule: long non-coding RNA, 540 nt
Organism: Betta splendens (Siamese fighting fish)
Lineage: Eukaryota; Metazoa; Chordata; Actinopteri; Anabantiformes; Osphronemidae
Exons: 3
Source: RefSeq, a predicted model, not a curated record